UACGUAGGGUGCAAGCGUUGUCCGGAAUUAUUGGGCGUAAAGAGCUCGUAGGCGGUCUGUUGCGUCGGCUGUGAAAACCCGGGGCUCAACCCCGGGCCUGCAGCCGAUACGGGCAGACUAGAGUUCGGCAGGGGAGACUGGAAUUCCUGGUGUAGCGGUGAAAUGCGCAGAUAUCAGGAGGAACACCGAUGGCGAAGGCAGGUCUCUGGGCCAUAACUGACGCUGAGAAGCGAAAGCAUGGGGAGCGAACAGG
Molecule: ribosomal RNA, 253 nt
Filed under: uncultured bacterium
Lineage: Bacteria
Description: partial 16S ribosomal RNA
Rfam family: Bacterial small subunit ribosomal RNA
Source: RNAcentral